CUGGAAUUCGUCAAGUUCAAGAAGAGUCCAUGUUCUUUACCCGUCUGGAUGGUCACGAAUCAGGUGCCUUUGCCUCACCUAUAAUGAUGGUUUUAUGUUGAGAUCUUCACCCAUUAGGUUUCUGAGAAUUUUCAGCGCUUUUAAUUGGGGUGGUGUUCUGAGUUUCAGAAAAGGGGAACUGGAUUCCAGCUAGGGAGCUUCAAUUGAGUUUUCUAGGAGAUAAUAGCAAUUUGUUAUCAAGCGAGUGAGUUUAUACCCUAAAGUUCAGAAAGGGGUCCAUUUACUUGCUUGUGGAUGCAAAGAUGGGGAAGAAUGGGAAG
Molecule: unclassified non-coding RNA, 320 nt
Filed under: Hevea brasiliensis (rubber tree)
Lineage: Eukaryota; Viridiplantae; Streptophyta; Magnoliopsida; Malpighiales; Euphorbiaceae
Source: RNAcentral